UUCGCUAUAAGGAUGCCCUAUGCAAUAUUGAUUAUCCGAGUUUCUAGAUUAACAGUGUGUCCUGUAUUUUAUCAGAUCCCUCUAGCUAGAGGUCACAUCCUGCAAGAGCUGAGCUGGCUGAGCUCCCCCUCCUGACACCAGGUCUAAACUCUUAACCUCUGUGACAGAGAGUCUCUAACCAGUUAUCCCCAAGGGACUCCUUCAGCCACAAUACAUGCACGUGGCAUACCUCUCAUUCAUAGAGUCUAUUGACUUUCCUCAGUAAUCAUUCUAUUACCCUCAGAGCCCCAGACUCAGGGCCUCUCCAGAAUCUUCUGCAUCCUGACGUCUGGAUCAGGGACCUUUGGUGUGUUUCAACCAGAGAACUGAAUCUGGCAGAUGCAGAGACUCAGUGCCCUCACAAGGGGGCAGCAGCCAGAGCUGACAAGAUGAGUGAGGAUCUAGCCCAGGAGGAAUUCCAGACACAGAGCUGGCCUGGAACCCUUGCUGGGAACCUGGACCUUCAGUUGUAAAUCAGGGAGGGGGGAUGACUCAAAGGGGAAGUUUGGGGCCUGAGGCCCAGAAACCUCUUCCUAGGCCAUGAGAGGAUGAGGAUGCUCCGCAGUUGCUGGGAAAAUGCCGAGCCUGCUCCAGGGCAGGCGGGUGAAGUGGGUCGAUGGAUAGGACCUUCUUAUAGCUGAUACCACUCAGGACUCAUGUGGACUCCCAUGUUUUCCUCAGCUCACAGGCGCUGACCUCUGUCCUCCUCUCCUAUCACACCCCAUUGGAGCUUUCCAAGAAUCUGAGGUGUGACAUGGGGCUGUGGGACAUCAGAGGCAGAAAUCCUCAAUAUGUGCAUGUGUAACUCUCCCUGUGAAGCUCUUUUUCUUUUUCUUUUUUUUGAGGAAAAGUAGCCCUGAGCUAACAUCUGCUGCUAAUCCUCCUCUUUUUGCUGAGGAAGACUGGCCCUGAGUUAACAUCCAUGCCCAUCUUCCUCUACUUUAUACAUGGGACGCUUACCACAGCAUGGCGUGCCAACUGGUGCCAUGUCUGCACCUGGGGUCCGAACCUGCAAACCCUGGGCCACUGAAGUGGAACGUGCACACUUAACUGCUACGCCACUAGGCCGGCCCGUUCCUGUGAAGCUCUUGAUGAACCUCAGAUCCCAAGGUCACCUUCUCCUGAACAGGGAGCAGCACAGACAUUGGGGGUCACCAUGGCAACGGUACCAAGGACUCCCAUGCAGAACCCCUAUGUGUGUGACCUAGGACGGAUGUCAUUGACCUGCCAAGAGCAUGAACCUGAUUCUCCAGGUUCUGUUUGUUAACAGAACUGCUUUCACCACCUGUGCUCCAGCCUGAGGACCAGGCUGAUUAUCAUUGCUAUGGAGCUGAACACAAUCCCAAUGCCACUACGAGCUCCUGUUCCACUGGAAAAUGUGAACUUUCUGGAGCUCCUGAAUUCCCAGGUGCUGGCCAUUCCUCUCCACUGAGAAGAUCUGAACCAACCCAUUAUGAAGGAAGACACACAAAUGAGAAACAGACAUGUGAAAAGAUGCUCAACCUAACAGGUCAUUGGGGUAUUACAAGUUUAAACAAUGAGAGACAAGCAGACCCUAUUAGAAUGGCUGAGACCUAACACAUGACAACAGUAGAUGCUGCCUGGGAUGUGGGGUGGCAGGAACCCUCAUUCUUGCUAGUGGGAAUGCAAAAUGUCAGCUACUUGUAAGACACGUUGGCAGUUUCUUACAAAGCUAAACUAACUCUUGUAUGAUACAGAAAUCACACUCCUAGGUAUUUACCUAAAUGAGUUACUUGGGUGGACACAAGAAUAUCUCAUAGAUGUUUACAGCUGCUUUAUUCAUGAUUGCCAAAACUUGAAAGCAACCAAUAUGUCCUUCAAAAGGUGAAGUGAUAAAUACCAGUACACCUAUACGAUGGAAUAUGAUUUAGCGAUAAAAAUAAAUAUUAUCUGGCCACAGAACGACAC
This is a long non-coding RNA of Equus caballus (horse), 1968 nucleotides long. The record is from Ensembl. NCBI's taxonomy places the organism in Eukaryota, Metazoa, Chordata, Mammalia, Perissodactyla, Equidae.